CGGAACGAUGGGAGCUUGCUCCCAGGCGUCGAGCGGCGGACGGGUGAGUAACACGUGGGAAUCUGCCCAUUAGUGGGGGAUAACUCGGGGAAACUCGAGCUAAUACCGCAUAAUCCCUACGGGGGAAAGCAGGGGAUCUUCGGACCUUGCGCUGAUGGAUGAGCCCGCGUCGGAUUAGCUUGUUGGUGGGGUAAUGGCCCACCAAGGCGACGAUCCGUAACUGGUCUGAGAGGAUGGCCAGUCACACCGGGACUGAGACACGGCCCGGACUCCUACGGGAGGCAGCAGUGGGGAAUCUUGGACAAUGGGCGCAAGCCUGAUCCAGCCAUGCCGCGUGUGUGAAGAAGGCCUUCGGGUUGUAAAGCACUUUCAGUAGGGAGGAAGGCUUUGGGCUAAUACCCUGGAGUACUUGACGUUACCUACAGAAGAAGCACCGGCUAAUUUCGUGCCAGCAGCCGCGGUAAUACGAAAGGUGCGAGCGUUAAUCGGAAUUACUGGGCGUAAAGCGCGCGUAGGCGGUGUGUUAAGUCGGAUGUGAAAGCCCAGGGCUCAACCUUGGAAUUGCAUCCGAUACUGGCACGCUAGAGUGCAGUAGAGGGAGGUGGAAUUUCCGGUGUAGCGGUGAAAUGCGUACAGAUCGGAAGGA
This 646-nucleotide ribosomal RNA is filed under the name Alloalcanivorax dieselolei. RNAcentral's name for it is "bacterial SSU rRNA". It matches the Rfam family "Bacterial small subunit ribosomal RNA", at positions 67 to 705 of the family's 1533-position model. Lineage: Bacteria; Pseudomonadati; Pseudomonadota; Gammaproteobacteria; Oceanospirillales; Alcanivoracaceae. The record is from RNAcentral.